UACGUAGGGGCUAGCGUUGUCCGGAAUCAUUGGGCGUAAAGAGCGUGUAGGCGGUCCGGUAAGUCCGCUGUGAAAGUCGGGGGCUCAACCCUCGAAUGCCGGUGGAUACUGUCGGGCUAGAGUGCGGAAGAGGCGAGUGGAAUUCCUGGUGUAGCGGUGAAAUGCGCAGAUAUCAGGAGGAACACCUAUUGCGAAGGCAGCUCGCUGGGACGUAACUGACGCUGAGACGCGAAAGCGUGGGAGCAAACAGG
Molecule: ribosomal RNA, 251 nt
Filed under: uncultured bacterium
Lineage: Bacteria
Description: partial 16S ribosomal RNA
Rfam family: Bacterial small subunit ribosomal RNA
Source: RNAcentral